RNAcentral lists this ribosomal RNA (1244 nucleotides) under metagenome. RNAcentral describes it as "bacterial LSU rRNA". It matches the Rfam family "Bacterial large subunit ribosomal RNA", at positions 1564 to 2818 of the family's 2925-position model. The record is from RNAcentral.
UGAAUACGAGACGCUAAGGCGUCGAAGUAGUGUAUGUCAUACUUCCAAGAAAAGCUUGCACUGUCAUAGAUAAAAAACGCCUGUACCAUAACCGACACAGGUGGGUAGGUAGAGUAUACUAAGGGGCGCGAGAUAACUCUCUCUAAGGAACUCGGCAAAAUAACUCCGUAACUUCGGGAGAAGGAGUGCCUUAUUCUUAAGGUUGCAAUAACAAGAUCCAAGCAACUGUUUAUCAAAAACACAGGUCUCCGCUAAGUCGUAAGACGAUGUAUGGGGGCUGACGCCUGCCCAGUGCCAGAAGGUUAAAGAAGCUGGUUAGCAUUUGCGAAGCUAGUAACUGAAGCCCUGGUGAACGGCGGCCGUAACAAUAACGGUCCUAAGGUAGCGAAAUUCCUUGUCGGGUAAGUUCCGACCCGCACGAAAGGCGUAAUGAUUUGGAUACUGUCUCGGAGAGGGGCUCGGUGAAAUAGACUUGUCUGUGAAGAUGCGGACUACCUGCACCAGGACAGAAAGACCCUAUGAAGCUUUACUGUAACUUGAAAUUGAAAUUGGACUUUAUUCGCGCAGUAUAGGUGGGAGGCGUUGAUUAUAAUCUUGCGGGAUUAUUGGAGCCAUUAGUGAGAUACCACUCUUGUAAUGUUAGAUUUCUAACUUUGAAUCAUUAUCUGGUCAAAGAACAGUUUCAGGCGGGCAGUUUGACUGGGGCGGUCGCCUCCUAAACGGUAACGGAGGCGUACAAAGGUUCCCUCUGAACGGUUAGAAAUCGUAUCUAGAGUGUAAAGGCAUAAGGAAGCUUGACUGUGAGACCUACAAGUCGAGCAGGGACGAAAGUCGGUCUUAGUGAUCUGACGGUACUGAGUGGAAAGGCCGUCACUCAACGGAUAAAAGUUACUCUAAGGAUAACAGGCUGAUCUCCCCCAAGAGUUCACAUCGACGGGGAGGUUUGGCACCUCGAUGUCGGCUCAUCGCAUCCUGGGGCGGUAGUACGUCCCAAGGGUUGGGCUGCUCGCCCAUGAAAGCGGUACGCGAGCUGGGUUCAGAACGUCGUGAGACAGUUCGGUCCAUAUCUGGUGUAGGCGUUAGAAUAUUGAGAGGAGCCUUCUUUAGUACGAGAGGACCGAGAAGACAUACCUCUGGUGUACCAGUUAUCGUGCCAACGGUAAACGCUGGGUAGCUAUGUAUGGAGUGGAUAACCGCUGAAAGCAUCUAAGUGGGAAGCCCACCUCAAGAUAAGUAUUCUCAUC